This 460-nucleotide ribosomal RNA is filed under the name uncultured bacterium. RNAcentral's name for it is "partial 16S ribosomal RNA". It matches the Rfam family "Bacterial small subunit ribosomal RNA", at positions 338 to 795 of the family's 1533-position model. The record is from RNAcentral.
CCUACGGGGGACAGCAGUGAGGAAUAUUGGUCAAUGGCCGUAAGGCUGAACCAGCCAAGUCGCGUGAAGGAAGAAGGAUCUAUGGUUUGUAAACCUCUUUUAUAGGGGAAUAAAGGUAUCCACGGAUGGAUAUUUCCAUGUAACCUAUGAAUAAGCCUCGGCUAACUCCGUGCCAGCCGCCGCGGUAAUACGGAGGGUGGGAGCGUUAUCCGGAUUUAUUGGGUUUAAAGGGUGCGUAGGUUGUUUUUUAAGUCAGCGGUGAAAGUUUGUGGCUCAACCAUAAAAUUGCCGUUGAAACUGGAAGACUUGAGUGUGUUUGAGGUAGGCGGAAUGCGUGGUGUAGCGGUGAAAUGCAUAGAUAUCACGCAGAACUCCGAUUGCGAAGGCAGCUUACUAAGCCAUAACUGACACUGAAGCACGAAAGCGUGGGGAUCAAACAGGAUUAGAUACCCGAGUAGUC